Molecule: small nuclear RNA, 279 nt
Filed under: Nannospalax galili (Upper Galilee mountains blind mole rat)
Lineage: Eukaryota; Metazoa; Chordata; Mammalia; Rodentia; Spalacidae
Description: 7SK RNA (ENSNGAG00000002577.1)
Rfam family: 7SK RNA
About the family: 7SK was discovered as an abundant small nuclear RNA in the mid-70s but a possible function has only recently been suggested.
Source: RNAcentral
GCAUCUGCCACAAGCUGUGAUACCCCUUUAAUCUCCAGGUUCACCCUGGAUUUAGUUCACCCGACUUUCUAGGUUGUUAUCCCCUUCCUCUGUCACUGCUCCAUGAGCAUCCCUCCCAAAGCUAUGGCCUUGGCUGAAGAAGAUGAUGUUCACCAAUAAGGGGGAACUGUUUCCAGUCAAGAGUGUAGAACACAGCUACUUCUCUGCUUGAAUCUCCCAACAAGCUUUCAAGAUACUCUUACCGACUUGAUGCCAGAGCUUGCAUGAAGAAAAGGGUUU